AAAAUAUCAAAUGGCAAAAUAAAAAAUAUUAAAAAUCAGAAAUAGAAACUAGAAUUUAUUUGGGAAAUAAUGCGAUUGGUCCCAUAAUUUUUGGAUAAAAAAUGAAAGAGAUAUUGAUUUUUGAAAUAAAAUGGAAUUAAUGAAAAUAAAAGGAAAAUAAAAACAGAAAAUAGAAAUUGGAAAAAGCGUGGACCGUCUGAUCUAAGCUCAUUAGUUGAGCUGGCAAAUCAUGAGGCCAUGAAGCACGCGCCUACCACGGAUCCAAGUCAAUGCGUGCACAUGUAAAAGAAAUAAAAGUCAUAACAAUGGACGCCUGGGAUCGAAUCUG
RNAcentral lists this long non-coding RNA (328 nucleotides) under Lathyrus oleraceus (garden pea). RNAcentral describes it as "Pisum sativum (pea) long non-coding RNA (PSAT_LNC035621)". Lineage: Eukaryota; Viridiplantae; Streptophyta; Magnoliopsida; Fabales; Fabaceae. The record is from RNAcentral.